This 72-nucleotide transfer RNA is filed under the name Ornithorhynchus anatinus (platypus). It matches the Rfam family "tRNA". From Rfam's summary of the family: Transfer RNA (tRNA) molecules are approximately 80 nucleotides in length. Their secondary structure includes four short double-helical elements and three loops (D, anti-codon, and T loops). Further hydrogen bonds mediate the characteristic L-shaped molecular structure. tRNAs have two regions of fundamental functional importance: the anti-codon, which is responsible for specific mRNA codon recognition, and the 3' end, to which the tRNAs corresponding amino acid is attached (by aminoacyl-tRNA synthetases). tRNAs cope with the degeneracy of the genetic code in two manners: having more than one tRNA (with a specific anti-codon) for a particular amino acid; and 'wobble' base-pairing, i.e. permitting non-standard base-pairing at the 3rd anti-codon position. The record is from Rfam by way of RNAcentral. Lineage: Eukaryota; Metazoa; Chordata; Mammalia; Monotremata; Ornithorhynchidae.
GGCAGUGUGGCUCAGUGGAAAAAGCACGGGCUUGGGAGUCAGAGGAUAUGGGUUCUAAUCCCCGCUCUGCCA